Molecule: ribosomal RNA, 529 nt
Filed under: uncultured bacterium
Lineage: Bacteria
Description: bacterial SSU rRNA
Rfam family: Bacterial small subunit ribosomal RNA
Source: RNAcentral
CCUUGACAUCCAGAGAACUUAGCAGAGAUGCUUUGGUGCCUUCGGGAACUCUGAGACAGGUGCUGCAUGGCUGUCGUCAGCUCGUGUUGUGAAAUGUUGGGUUAAGUCCGCAACGAGCGCAACCCUUAUCCUUUGUUGCCAGCGGUUCGGCCGGGAACUCAAAGGAGACUGCCGGUGAUAAACCGGAGGAAGGUGGGGGUGACGUCAAGUCAUCAUGGCCCUUACGGCCAGGGCUACACACGUGCUACAAUGGCGCAUACAAAGAGAAGCGACCUCGCGAGAGCAAGCGGACCUCAUAAAGUGCGUCGUAGUCCGGAUUGGAGUCUGCAACUCGACUCCAUGAAGUCGGAAUCGCUAGUAAUCGUAGAUCAGAAUGCUACGGUGAAUACGUUCCCGGGCCUUGUACACACCGCCCGUCACACCAUGGGAGUGGGUUGCAAAAGAAGUAGGUAGCUUAACCUUCGGGAGGGCGCUUACCACUUUGUGAUUCAUGACUGGGGUGAAGUCGUAACAAGGUAAGCGUAGCGAG